RNAcentral lists this long non-coding RNA (544 nucleotides) under Mus musculus (house mouse). RNAcentral's name for it is "predicted gene, 32442". The record is from RNAcentral. Lineage: Eukaryota; Metazoa; Chordata; Mammalia; Rodentia; Muridae.
UCCUGCUGUCCCCGGCAGCAUGGUGAGAGGCCAGAAAAGCUGAUUUCUUUCCCUUAUCUAUCCUGGGAGGCUCAGAGAGCAAGAUCAGCCUUCCAGAGCGGCACCACGCUGGGCAGUGUGUGGGACUGCAGGAGUCAGCAGAAGUCAUGUGCACCUCAUUGCUGAUAGAAGGUGAAUCAAAGGAGGGGACCCAAGCGACCAUCACUUCAGGCUGGAGUGUUCAGUGAGCUGGACUAGCUAGGACAAAGCAGUCUCCUGUGACAUCUGCUGUCUUCCCAAGGUGUGAGCCAGCAGAGCCCACCCCUCUGUGUAACUUAUUUCAUAUCAUCUACACUUUCCAAUAAGCCCUUACUCUAUUAGAUUGCUUCCUGGAAGAGCCAAAUAUUAAAAAUCACCGGUCAGUCGGUUUCUUUAUUCUGUUAGUCACCAAACUGAUUUUUUAAGCUCAGAACCAAUAAAGCUGUGAUGGUGAAGAACAGAUAUAGAUUUCUCUUUCCCACACACUCAUAUAUAAUAAUAAUAAAACUUUAUUAAACAAGAGACA